UCCCUGGUGGUUCAGUUGGUAAAGCAUCUGCCUGCAGUGCAGGAGACACAGGUUCGAUCCCUGGGUCGGGAA
RNAcentral lists this transfer RNA (72 nucleotides) under Bos taurus (domestic cattle). It matches the Rfam family "tRNA". Rfam says of the family: Transfer RNA (tRNA) molecules are approximately 80 nucleotides in length. Their secondary structure includes four short double-helical elements and three loops (D, anti-codon, and T loops). RNAcentral also lists the same sequence under 2 other names. The record is from Rfam by way of RNAcentral. Lineage: Eukaryota; Metazoa; Chordata; Mammalia; Artiodactyla; Bovidae.